RNAcentral lists this ribosomal RNA (300 nucleotides) under uncultured bacterium. RNAcentral's name for it is "bacterial SSU rRNA". It matches the Rfam family "Bacterial small subunit ribosomal RNA", at positions 114 to 436 of the family's 1533-position model. The record is from RNAcentral.
UAUUUAGAAAUCUGCCUUAAGGUAGGGGAUAAGUACCCUUUAGGGGGUAUAAUACCGUAUAACCAAAGUAAUUUAUUACGCCUUAAGAUGAGUCUAAACAAGAUUAGGUAGUUGGUGGAUUAAAAGCCUACCAAGCCGAAGAUCUUUAGCGGGUUUAAGAGGAUGAUCCGCCACACUGGAACUGAGACACGGUCCAGACUUCAUAAUGAAGGCAGCAGUGAGAAAUCUUGGACAAUGGAUGAAAAUCUGAUCCAGCGAUACCACAUGGGUGAUGAAGGCUAUUUUGUCGUAAAGCCCUUU